RNAcentral lists this long non-coding RNA (2156 nucleotides) under Homo sapiens (human). Its description in RNAcentral is "HSALNT0189600". The record is from RNAcentral. Lineage: Eukaryota; Metazoa; Chordata; Mammalia; Primates; Hominidae.
UUUGGCUAGGUGACAAAACCAAGCCCUAUAACAGCCAAAACUAAAGGUCUUUUAUAUAAAAUAUUUCACAACCUGUUUUGCUCCCACAGAUUGACAGGGAGACAUGAUAGCUGCAGAUGUGGAAAUGCCAAUAACAAAGAAGACAAGGCACAGCAAACUUCAGGCUGAGGCGCCACAGGCUUCACCCUGACCCUAUCUGUAAAUAACAGCGGCCUUUUAAUAUUGCGUGGUAACAAGAUAUACAAGUGGUUCCCACCUAGAUACUCAGGGUGCUGUGGACUCAGUUAUCUGACAUCCUCUGUUACUAGGUACUCCACUUUAAAUGGCAGCCAAAUUACAAAUGGGCCUUUUUGUUCAUAAAGUGGUGCCACACAGAGGUAAUGAAUGUGACUUUGUAAAAAACCCACCUAUAUAUCACAAAUCUAUGUUCUUUUCAGUCCUCAGAACUUUUCCCCUGGCAUUUGGAACUUAAGAAAAUGAAAGGGCAGUUUAAAAUCUUUCCAUGGCAAUAGAACAAGACUUCAGUAUCACUACCCAAGCCUUGGGAGCACUCCAGUCAGAAGUCAACAGUCCAGCUUCUGCUGUACUUUAGAACUGCUGCAGCCUGAAUGUGCUGACAGCCCAACAGGGAGGAGCUUGUGCAGCUAUUGGUGACAAAUGCUGUUUCUACAUAAACCGCUCAGGGCAAGUAGAGACUGAUCUGCACCUCUUGAAGGUCAAGCAAACCCUCUGAGGGCAAGGGGAAAGCUCCUCCAAUGCCCAUACACAAGUGAAGAAGAUCAAGAAGAAUUUAUCACAAACCUGCCUUGCUAUACAAGUGUCUGAUGUACAAAAGACUGAAGUGAAAUACUUGUUAGCACCAAUAAAAUAUAACUCAGUGACAAAUUUUCUAAAAAGAACUUUGUAUCUAGGAUUGAUAGGCUUGGAAAAAUCUUACAAACUUUUCUUCAACAUCUGAAAGUGUUUUUCAGUCUAUAGUAAUUGUCAGGCCUCUGAGCCUAAGCUAAGCCAUCAUAACCCCUGUGACCUGCACGGAUACAUCCAGAUGACCUGAAGCAACUGAAGAACCACAAAAGAAGUGAAAUAGUCAAUUCCUGCCUUAACUGAUGACAUUCUACCACUGUGAUUUGUUCCUGUCCCACCCUAACUGAUCAAUUGAGCUUGUGACAUUCCUUCUCCUGGACAAUGAGUCUCAGGAGCUCCCCACCGAGCACCUUGUGACCCCCACCCCUACCCUCAAGAGAAAACCCCUUUAACUGUAAUUUUCCACUACCUACCCAAAUCCUAUAAAACUGGCCCACCCCAUCUCCCUUUGCUGACUCCUUUUUCAGACUCAGUCUGCCUGCACCCAGGGAAUCAAAAAGCUUUAUUGCUCACACAAAGCCUGUUUGGCCGUCUCUUCACACAGACGUGUGUAACAGUAAUAAUAUUAUUUUAUUUUUUUGAGACAGGGUUUCACUCUGUUGUGCUGGCUGGAGUACAGGGGUGUGAUCAUGGUUCACUGCAGCCUCAACCUCCCUGGGCUCUAGUGAUCCUCCCACCUCAGCUUCCUGAGUAGCUGGGACCACAGAUGUGCACCACCACACCCAGCUAUUUCUUGGUAGAGAUGUUUUUUUGCCAUGUUGCCCAGGCUGGUCUUGAACUUCUAGGCUCCAGUGAUCCACUUGCUUUGAUCUCCCAGUGUUGGGAUUACAGGCAUGAGCCACCAUGCCCAGCCCUUAGUAAUAAUUUUAAAAAGUCUUUUAGUUUGAAGUUUUUGAUAGCCUGAGAACUGAGGCAGCAUCUUCUUAAAUUAUUCUUGUAAAAUCUGUGGGUUUGAAGUUUGAUUAAUGAGAACACAAUGUGUUUUUCCAAUGCUUCAUAUAGUGUCCCUUGUUCACAUUCCUGUUUUAUUCUUACUGCUUGUGUUCUUUAUUAUGGCUGGAUUGGUACUAGAAAAAACAAACCUUGUUUGUGUAUGAGUGUGGAUGUGUCUGACAAGUACUUGAAAUGUGACUUACAUGAUUUUGCUGUUUUUCUUUUUCAUGAAAUAUUAAGGUGGGAAAGUUGACAUUUUGCUUUUAAUUCAACAUAAUAUGAUGUGAAGAAUUUCCAAAUAAGAUUGUUUUCAUGUAAGACUCAUGGCCUAGAUGCAAUUAAAAUAAUAAAAUAAAAAU